Molecule: long non-coding RNA, 493 nt
Filed under: Brassica napus (rape)
Lineage: Eukaryota; Viridiplantae; Streptophyta; Magnoliopsida; Brassicales; Brassicaceae
Description: long non-coding RNA (BNAP_LNC022229)
Source: RNAcentral
AAAAAAUGUUUAUAACUUUCAAAAUCUCAGAUCCGACCAUGUUUCUGUAAGAAAAGAUGAUUAAUAUGAGAGUAAAAGACAAUGAGGAACAGAGUAAACAGAGAGAUAAGUGAUCAAGAGUAAAUUAAGUUGUGAAUAAGAGAGUAUGAGUAUCAAGAGAUUAUAGAGAUUGACAAUAACCAAGAGAGAAGAGAAUGGUGAAGAAGAAAGGGGAACUCCCCUCUUUCAGCUUAGAUUAUAAUUGAUUACAAUGAGAGUUCUUUAUACCCAACACACACUAGACAAAUGAGAGGAAGAAGACAAAGAGAGAUAGAUCUGAAUUCAAAAUGAAUGGUUGGGAUGAGAGGAUCUGAAUUAAUUUGAAUUGAAUGGCUGAGAUGCAGGAGAGCUUCCAAUGUGAUAGUGACAGCUCCUAACAGUCAUCUUUCUUCUCUCCAACAUGUUAUUUUAAUCCUCACUUGUCCAGCCUCUCUCUCCAAAGGUCAGAACCUAA